RNAcentral lists this unclassified non-coding RNA (645 nucleotides) under Hevea brasiliensis (rubber tree). The record is from RNAcentral. Lineage: Eukaryota; Viridiplantae; Streptophyta; Magnoliopsida; Malpighiales; Euphorbiaceae.
CGCUCCCUCCCUCCCUCUACCGGCCACAUUUGCAGAGAGGGAGCGUUGGGAGAGAAAUCGUCGAAGAUGAAGUACAAUCCAAGAGUAUCCUCCUCCCGCCGCAAGAGCAGGAAGGCACAUUUCACGGCGCCUUCCAGCCUUCGCCGGGUGUUGAUGAGCGCCCCUUUGUCCUCAGAGUUGCGAGCCAAGUACAGCGUUAGGUCCAUGCCAGUAAGGAAAGACGACGAGGUUCAGGUGGUUCGUGGAACCUACAAGGGUCGUGAAGGAAAAGUUGUCCAAGUCUACCGUAAGAAGUGGGUGAUCCACAUUGAGCGCAUUACCAGAGAGAAGGUUAAUGGAUCCACUGUUAACGUUGGUAUUCACCCGUCCAAGGUUGUUAUCUCCAAGCUCAGGCUCGACAAGGACCGUAGGUCUCUUCUUGACCGUAAGGCUAAGGGUCGUGCUGCUGCCGAUAAGGAUAAGGGUACUAAGUUCACCACCGAGGAAAUCAUGCAGGCAAUUGAUUAGUUCUUCUUCUAUCUAUUGUGUUUCUGUUUUGUUAUAUCUUAUUGCUUUUGCUACUUUGAAGCUUGUUGGAAUAGCUAAAGAGUAUUUUUCUGAGACUCUGAAUUUUGUUUCAGUAUUUUAAUAGUAUGCAAUUUUGGG